RNAcentral lists this ribosomal RNA (472 nucleotides) under uncultured bacterium. Its description in RNAcentral is "bacterial SSU rRNA". It matches the Rfam family "Bacterial small subunit ribosomal RNA", at positions 328 to 793 of the family's 1533-position model. The record is from RNAcentral.
CUCUGUGACUCCUACGGGAGGCAGCAGUGGGGAAUAUUGCACAAUGGGGGAAACCCUGAUGCAGCCAUGCCGCGUGUGUGAAGAAGGCCUUCGGGUUGUAAAGCACUUUCAGUAGGGAGGAAGGUAGUGUAGUUAACACCUGCAUUAUUUGACGUUACCUACAGAAGAAGCACCGGCUAACUCCGUGCCAGCAGCCGCGGUAAUACGGAGGGUGCGAGCGUUAAUCGGAAUUACUGGGCGUAAAGCGCAUGCAGGCGGCCUGUUAAGUCAGAUGUGAAAGCCCGGGGCUUAACCUCGGAAUUGCAUUUGAAACUGGCAGGCUAGAGUCUUGUAGAGGGGGUAGAAUUUCAGGUGUAGCGGUGAAAUGCGUAGAGAUCUGAAGGAAUACCAGUGGCGAAGGCGGCCCCCUGGACAAAUACUGACGCUGAAGCGCGAAAGCUAGGGGAGCAAACAGGAUUAGAUACCCUGGUAG